UACAUUAGAAUGUGAUACGUUUUGAUUAUAGAAACACUAUCAAUUCUAUUUACUCUUUCUUAGCAAUAUUUUGUUGGUUGUAGCUUCUUUGGGGAGUAAAUGGGUAUAAGUGUUUGUCUAAACACUCCUAAUCCAUCGCUAGCUCUUAUAAUUAGUCAAAUGCAUUGGAUUGUGACACAUUAUGACCAUAGAAACACUAACAAAGCUAUUUACUGUGUCUAAGCAAAUAUUUGUUGGUUUUAGCCUCUUUUGGGAUAAAAUGGGUAUAAUUGUUGUCUAAACACUCCUAAUCCAUCUCUAACUCUAUAAUUAGUCCAAUGCAUUGGAUUGUGAAACAUUUUGACUAUAGAAACACUAACAAAUCUAUUGACUGCUUUUAAGCAAUUUUUUUUGGUUUUAGCCUCUUUUGGCCGAAAAUGGGUAUAAGUGUUGUCUAAACACUCCUAAUCCAUCUCUAACUCUUAUAAUUAGUCGAAUGCAUUAAAUUGUGAUACAUUUUGACCAUAUAAACACUAACAAAGCUAUUUAGUGUUUCUAAGCAAUAUUUUGUUGGUUAUAGCUUCUUUUGGGAGAAAUGGGUAUAAUUGUUGUCUAAACACUCCUAAUCCAUCUCUAACCAUUAUAAUUAGUCAAUUGCAUUGGAUUGUGACACAUAUUGACCAUAAAAAUACUAACAAAGCUAUUUACUGCUUCUAAGCAAUGUUUUGUUGGUUUUAGCUUCUUUUAGAAGAAAAUGGAUAUAAUUGUUGUCUAAACACUCCUAAUCCAUCUCUAACUCUUAUAAUUACUCAAAUGCAUUAGAUUGUGAUAC
RNAcentral lists this small RNA (811 nucleotides) under Arabidopsis thaliana (thale cress). Its description in RNAcentral is "ATSL036560". Lineage: Eukaryota; Viridiplantae; Streptophyta; Magnoliopsida; Brassicales; Brassicaceae. The record is from RNAcentral.